RNAcentral lists this long non-coding RNA (952 nucleotides) under Parus major (Great Tit). RNAcentral's name for it is "lncRNA (ENSPMJG00000008412.1)". The record is from RNAcentral. Lineage: Eukaryota; Metazoa; Chordata; Aves; Passeriformes; Paridae.
CAGUCAGUAAAAGCCUUCAUAGCCAAAGCAAAGUUAUACUCAAAGACUUUACCAUUCUGUUGCAUUCUAGCUCUUUGCUUCAGCAGCUUUUGAGGAUGUGGUACCACAUGAAUGAGGCUGGAUGAGAAGCUGGAGAAAACCAGCAGGGAGAAGAAAGCAUGUAUGGUCAGCACAGAGUUUACUUCUUGCUUUUUCUUCUAACUGCUAUUUUGAGACUAGGAAAAAGCUGACUUGGAAGACUUGUUCCUCUUGCUGUGCAGGCACUGACCCAGGAAGAGCUGGAUGCAGAGCCCAGCUGAAGCCACAGCAGCUGUGUGUAAGUGUGAAGUUUUUCCUCUCCUGGAGUCACAGUAAGAUCAGAGGUGGGAUUGUUUGCCAGUGGUUGCAACCUAAUUUCAGCUUCUUGGUUAUAUGCACUGGACUGUUACAUUUAUCUGUGUGCCACAGGGACUCUGAAGCACCCCUCUGAAUUGCUGUCACAGUGUGGAGGAUCUCUACCCCCCCGUUCAUCCACAGCUACAGUCACAGAAAAGCAAUCAAUCUCUUGGACUGACAAAGCUGCAGAGGCUAAAAGCUUCUAUUUCAAGGUUAUCAAGGAUGCAUAUUGCACUUUGUUUCCUCCACAUCCUAGAGAGCCUUUCCUAGAAGGGCUCUGUGAUGUGCUGCAGCAGGGCUCUAGACCUGGUUUCCCACAGGCAUAAAUAUGAGUGCAGGUGAGCAAAGGCUGAUAAUGUCUUAACCAAACCCACGGGUGAAGAAAUAGCUGCUUGACAGGAAUAUAUUAAAGUGAAAUACACGAAAUAUUCUGAUGAGCUGAAACACUACACCACUGGGAACUGUAUACAUUUGCAAUAGACUGCAUCCAGUGAGCAGUAAAAGAAAGUAAAGAUUUUGGGAAUAAGAGGAAACUGUUUUUAAGAUGAUUUCUAAUAAAAUCAGGCUUACAGAGUCA